UCCAUAUCCUCGAUUGCUAUAUCAACAAGACCAAUCCUAGCCUGCAGUCAAUCUUGUAGUCUGAAGACAAGACGAGAGAAAGAGAGCAAGAGACAUCAGUGACAAAGAGUAAAGCAUUCAUCAGUCUGAAAGAUGAAGAGGUCACGCGUACUAAGAAAUGCUGAUCGAGAGGAGAAAGAAAAUCUUCUCAAACUUAUGAGUGACCAACCAACAACUGGGUGCUAUCUUUGUAAACUCAAAAAAUGUCAAAGAUCUUAAUGCUACGAUUCUCUUGAUCUACAUCUUCAAGACCACGACUGAUUGAUGAAAGGCCAACAAGAGCAUUAAGCUGUUAGGAGCAAAAGUAAAGCCAUGCACAUCAAUACCCAAACUCAGUAUAUCUUUAAUAAAUGACUAUUUCGUAACUGACAGUAAAAAGGUACGGUUCCUCACUAUUAUAAAUGUACAUCAUUAUUGCAUCUUCUUAUG
This 468-nucleotide long non-coding RNA is filed under the name Panax ginseng (ginseng). RNAcentral describes it as "long non-coding RNA (PGIN_LNC012335)". Lineage: Eukaryota; Viridiplantae; Streptophyta; Magnoliopsida; Apiales; Araliaceae. The record is from RNAcentral.